Long non-coding RNA from Xiphias gladius (swordfish), 594 nucleotides. RefSeq lists it as uncharacterized. The record is from RefSeq and is a predicted model, not a curated record. The transcript has 3 exons. Lineage: Eukaryota; Metazoa; Chordata; Actinopteri; Istiophoriformes; Xiphiidae.
UCACACGGUACAGGGCAACGGCGCCACAAGCCGCGGACGCCACGGUGACAGUUGAAUCCGCACCUCUCCGAAAAAGUUUCAACAAAAAAAAAAACCUUCGUGAAGGAGAAGUUAUUGCAGGACUUUUGGGUUUUACUGCAUUAGUUUUAUCCGGGACAGGGCCAGUUUGCCUGCAACCUACCUGAAGCGACGAGGACGGGUGGGAGAACUUUUUUCUGAAUCUUCAGCAGCUUUUUCUCAUAUUUCGUCUGGAUCAUUCACCGAUCUACAUUGCCCACGAUGGCAGCUUAGUGAGAGGCUCGAGAGAGGCCAUCUACUGCUGCUCAUGGAUUCAGAUUCACGGUUUUAAUGGGCAGGAAUGACGGUCGUUGACGCCAAAAUGCUGCUCGACCUGACCUUCCUGCUACUUACAGGACCUAUCUACAGCGGGGUAAUAUUGCAGUAUAUACUUGUAGACUUUGGACUGUGUAUUACUGGUAGCAUCCUACUGCCGCUCAGUGACCUGACGGGCAUCCUGAUCAUGUCUGAUGAAAAGAAGACGAGCAGAAACAUUUACUUUGUUAGUAUUCAUAAUAGUUUGUAUACACAAUGUAU